AGUAAACGGCGGCCGUAACUAUAACGGUCCUAAGGUAGCGAAAUUCCUUGUCGGGUAAGUUCCGACCCGCACGAAAGGCGCAACGAUCUGGGCACUGUCUCAACGAGAGACUCGGUGAAAUUAUAGUACCUGUGAAGAUGCAGGUUACCCGCGACAGGACGGAAAGACCCCGUGGAGCUUUACUGCAACCUGAUAUGGAAUGUUUGUACCGCUUGUACAGGAUAGGUAGGAGCCGAAGAGACGUGUGCGCUAGCAUACGAGGAGGCAAUGGUGGGAUACUACCCUGGCUGUAUGACCAUUCUAACCCGCCACGCUUAGCGCGUGGGGAGACAGUGUCAGGUGGGCAGUUUGACUGGGGCGGUCGCCUCCUAAAGAGUAACGGAGGCGCCCAAAGGUUCCCUCAGAAUGGAUGGAAAUCAUUCGCAGAGUGUAAAGGCACAAGGGAGCUUGACUGCGAGACUGACAAGUCGAGCAGGGACGAAAGUCGGGCUUAGUGAUCCGGUGGUUCCGCAUGGAAGGGCCAUCGCUCAACGGAUAAAAGCUACCCCGGGGAUAACAGGCUUAUCUCCCCCAAGAGUCCACAUCGACGGGGAGGUUUGGCACCUCGAUGUCGGCUCGUCGCAUCCUGGGGCUGUAGUCGGUCCCAAGGGUUGGGCUGUUCGCCCAUUAAAGCGGCACGCGAGCUGGGUUCAGAACGUCGUGAGACAGUUCGGUCCCUAUCCGUCGCGGGCGCAGGAAAUUUGAGAGGAGCUGUCCUUAGUACGAGAGGACCGGGAUGGACACACCGCUGGUGUACCAGUUGUUCCGCCAGGAGCAUCGCUGGGUAGCUAUGUGUGGCAGGGAUAAACGCUGAAAGCAUCUAAGCGUGAAGCCCCCCUCAAGAUGAGAUUUCCCAUUUCUUCGGAAAGUAAGAUCCCUGAAAGAUGAUCAGGUAGAUAGGUUUGGAGUGGAAGUGUAGCGAUACAUGGAGCGGACAAAUACUAAUCGAUCGAGGACUUAACCAAAA
Molecule: ribosomal RNA, 1006 nt
Filed under: Listeria monocytogenes
Lineage: Bacteria; Bacillati; Bacillota; Bacilli; Caryophanales; Listeriaceae
Description: partial 23S ribosomal RNA
Rfam family: Bacterial large subunit ribosomal RNA
Source: RNAcentral